Long non-coding RNA from Helianthus annuus (common sunflower), 411 nucleotides. RefSeq lists it as uncharacterized. The transcript has 2 exons. NCBI's taxonomy places the organism in Eukaryota, Viridiplantae, Streptophyta, Magnoliopsida, Asterales, Asteraceae. The record is from RefSeq and is a predicted model, not a curated record.
ACAGCUGUGGAAUAAUGGUGGUGCUGAUGUUCGGUUUCAGAUUAUGGUUUCGGGUCAAUCCGGGUCAAACCCGGUCAACAUAUGUUAAGAUCAGUCAACAACAGUCAACCCGAUCGGAUGUGGGUUCGAGUCAACACAUCGGGUCUUGCGGUUCGUGGUUCGGUUCGGUUGGCUCAGUUAAACCGAGUCGACUCAGCGGGUCAACUCGGUCAACGCGGUCAAACUGAGUCAACUCAGUCAACCGGUUCAGCGUUCCGACACGAAGAGUGGUAAAGUUUUAACGGUGAAUACGUUAUUUCUAUAAAUUUUUAUUACAUAUGUGAAAUCGAGCUCACACGAACGGUUUAGUGUUUAGUCUAUACUUUGUCGUUUUUACGAAAAUUUAUAUAUUAGUGAUUGAAUAUUGUUGAA